Molecule: ribosomal RNA, 253 nt
Filed under: uncultured bacterium
Lineage: Bacteria
Description: partial 16S ribosomal RNA
Rfam family: Bacterial small subunit ribosomal RNA
Source: RNAcentral
UACGGAGGGGGCUAGCGUUGUUCGGAAUUACUGGGCGUAAAGGGCGCGUAGGCGGCGCGGUAAGUCACUUGUGAAAUCUCUGAGCUUAACUCAGAACGGCCAAGUGAUACUGCAGUGCUAGAGUGCAGAAGGGGAAAUCGGAAUUCUUGGUGUAGCGGUGAAAUGCGUAGAUAUCAAGAGGAACACCUGAGGUGAAGACGGGUUGCUAGGCUGACACUGACGCUGAGGCGCGAAAGCCAGGGGAGCAAACGGG